UACGUAGGGGGCAAGCGUUAUCCGGAUUUACUGGGCGUACAGGGCGCGUAGGCGGCGUGACAAGUCACUUGUGAAAUCUCUGAGCUUAACUCAGAACGGCCAAGUGAAACUGUUGUGCUAGAGUGCAGAAGGGGCAAUCGGAAUUCUUGGUGUAGCGGUGAAAUGCGUAGAUAUCAAGAGGAACACCUGAGGUGAAGACGGGUUGCUGGGCUGACACUGACGCUGAUGCGCGAAAGCCAGGGGAGCAAACGGG
This 253-nucleotide ribosomal RNA is filed under the name uncultured bacterium. RNAcentral's name for it is "partial 16S ribosomal RNA". It matches the Rfam family "Bacterial small subunit ribosomal RNA", at positions 524 to 776 of the family's 1533-position model. The record is from RNAcentral.